Molecule: long non-coding RNA, 1852 nt
Filed under: Bos indicus x Bos taurus (hybrid cattle)
Lineage: Eukaryota; Metazoa; Chordata; Mammalia; Artiodactyla; Bovidae
Description: lncRNA (ENSBIXG00000002617.1)
Source: RNAcentral
CUUGCCAUAGUUUCAUUGAAAAGAAUUACUAGAGUAUACAGGCCAAUGGGAAGGGCAGGAGUCCCUUAGGAUAAUCAUAGCUGUUCCCACUACACUCUUCAAGGUCUUUUGUUCUUCCUUUCUCAUUAGAACAUGACAGCAGCUCUGAGGGGUCAGUGUUGGGAGCCAAUGAGAAAGCUGAAUUUAAGUGACUCACCGGGACCCUUGGGAUUCUUCAGAUGGAGAACUUGGCUGUGAAGGGACCUAUCAAUUUGGGCUCCUUCCAGAACUGAAAACUGGUUACAAAUAUGAAACAGAUUUAACUACUGGACUUGAACUCCACAUAAGGAAAAAAAAAAAGAAGAAGAUCCUCAAAGAUCCUCAUCAAAGAAUAGAUGCAGUGUGACUGGCAGGGAUAUCAAAGAGGUUGUAGGGAACAAAGCCAAAGGGACAGGGGAAGAUAGGGGGAGGCAAGCACCCAGAGCUGAUCCCCAGCUGUGCCUUCUCCAGGCACGAAGCCCAAACUCCCACGGUUUUCUCAGCAAUUUAGCAACUAGGAAAAGCUGGCAAAAAAACGAUACCCUGUGAUCCAAAAGAAUGACUGCCCUGCCAGAAGGUGCACUAAAAUCUACGUCCUGUCCUUUUGUCCACCGUGCUUUCUCUACUGCAUUUGCCCUCAGUGACCCGAUUGCCUCCAUUGUAACUGAAGGUGGGGGUCCAGCUGCUUGCUGCUCAACAGCCAAUAAGGAGGCAAGGUUGGUGGAAAUGAAAGUUUGCUGUAUUUUGGAUGCUAGCAAUGGGUUUGGGGGUGGGGCAGACUCCUGUCCAAAGGCUGACUCCCCUCAAAUAACAAUCAGUGAGCAAGAGCUUUGAGAGAUGGAGGGAGGGGCUACAUGUAGAAAGAGCACAGACAGUGCUGACAGUAAUCAUCAGUAGUGUGGUGGUCUGAUCAGUGUCAUCUUGAGUGUUUUCAGUACAGUUAAUCUUCAAUUCCAGGGUCAGUUUGUUCCAAUUUCUUUGAGGCCAGCUCUCAGAAUUGUGACUGCUUAUGUCAUGGCUACAGUCCUGUCAUCUUGUAGUUAGCUUCUUCUACCUGGUGGGAGUUUUAAUAUCUAUAAAAGCUCAAGGAAUAUAGCUCAGAAUAUUGUCUAUAGCCUUUGAGAAGGAACUAAAGAUCCUUGACUUUGUUCAAUGACUGAAUUAUUAUUAUUUGAUCUCUUUUGACUGUUUUCCUUUAUUUCUGCCUUUUCUCACUUCUCUGAUUACACUUGUAUUUUGGCUAAAGUUUUUCCUCAGACAAAAGGCAGACUGAGGACAUGGGGGCUAAGGGCCCCAAGGUUCUGCUCCAUUUCACCCUGACCUGGAACUCAUCGCUCCUCCUUGUCCUACUGCUGAGCAAUUCAGAGCUCCUAGUUCAACUGACUUGAAUAGAACUGAAUUUAAUGUUUCCCUUCAAUGCAUUUCUGAUAAUGUUUUUAUGAGGAAACACACAGCAAGCUUCACAGAAGCUUCGCUUCACUUCAGUUCCUUAGUGUGAGCAUUUUAAACCCAGUGUUCUCUGACCCCCCUCAGGUCUUUAUCAGUGGGCACAUGAGGCAGUGUCUCUGGGUCACCCAAAGUAAGAAAAGGCUUUCCAGGUGGCACAAAUGGUAAAGAACCCACUUGCCAAUGCAGGAGACAUAAGAGAUGCGGGCUCAAUCCCUGGGUGGGGAAGAUCACCUGGAGGAGGGCAUAGCAAACCCACUCCAGCUGCCUGGAGAAUCCCAUAGACAGAGGAGCCUGGUGGGGUACAGUCGAUAGGAUUGUAAAGAGUUGAACACAACUGAAGUGACUUAGAACACCAUGUAAGAAAAUGUCAUCAUGAUUAGAUUUC